Passer domesticus (house sparrow) is the source of this 1054-nucleotide long non-coding RNA. RefSeq lists it as uncharacterized. NCBI's taxonomy places the organism in Eukaryota, Metazoa, Chordata, Aves, Passeriformes, Passeridae. The transcript is spliced from 3 exons. The record is from RefSeq and is a predicted model, not a curated record.
AAAAAGUAGAUUGUUCUCCCAAGAGUUCUUGUCCUUAUUUUGUGUGAAUAUAUGUUCUAAAGCUAAGUAAACCAGUACACAGGAAAAGCAAGGAAAGAAAAGAAAAAUACUCCAGGGGGAGGGGGAAUUCAACAGAUGGAAUCAACACAGGCAAGUGACACUGCAGUAAAACUGUAAUUUAUGUUACAAUUCUCAUUGAUGGCUUUUGCUGGGUGCACUGGCUCAGCCACCUCUGGUUACAGCUCUGCUUUGUCACAAUGGCAGCAGAAUCCAGCACGACUCUCCUUUCAAGCCCCAUAGCACACUCCUGGAGCAGCUAAAGCCUUGCAGAACUCAUUACUUGAUUAAGUACUCUUUAAUAUCCACAAUGCUGGAAAACACUUCUUGGAACGCAGCUGGGAUCUGCCAGUUCAUACAAAGCCAUAAAGUCCUUCACACUUCCCUUCAGAAACCUUAAACACCCUGCCAGCCACCAUUAAUUAAGAUCCCCAUACCAGGUAUAUGCCCCAAGCUCCUAAUCCACAGCCUCCUGACCACAGCUCCCCUUCUCCAUCCAAACCUGGCAUCUGCCCAGCCCAUCCAGGCUCCCACCCUGCCCAUCUGAGAACCCAGUCCCUGGAGACUCUCCUGGAAUAGCUGAGAACUCCUGUUCCUGAGGUUAGAGAGGAAUGGCCCAUGGUCCCUACAACCAGCUGACAGGAAGCAGUUGGACACUACAAAGGAAGAGGAGGAGGAUCUCAGGAAUAUUUGGAAGUCUGAUGUUUUGAUGUCUCGUCUAAAGCAGCACCAUGCUGAGAGGACUGCACAGGGGUCAGAAAAAUGAGAUGUAGCAAAAGCACUGAUGAAAAACAAGAAUCAUUCCAGGAAUUACAUCCUUUUCAUGUUUCCAAGCUGAAGCAUAUCCAUCUCCCUUUCUUAAGGCACUGUCCUUCCCCUCCUCUCCCUGCAGCAGUAGCUGCCUGUGCUACACUGCAAUGUUGGCUCACUUCCACAAGUCAGCAUGUCUGAGAGAGAGUCUGGGUUGAGGCAGGGGGAGGAGGCAGUGACAAAGCUG